GACGAACGCUGGCGGCGUGCUUAACACAUGCAAGUCGAACGGACAGGCCCUGCUCUUGUGGGGUGCUCGAGUGGCGAACGGGUGAGUAACACGUGAGUAACCUGCCCUUGACUUUGGGAUAACUUCUGGAAACUGGGGCUAAUACCGGAUAGGAGCUCCUGCUGCAUGGUGGGGGUUGGAAAGUUUCGGCGGUUGGGGAUGGACUCGCGGCUUAUCCGCUUGUUGGUGGAGUAGUGGCUUACCAAGGCUUUGACGGGUAGCCGGCCUGAGAGGGUGACCGGCGACAAGGGGACUGAGAUACGGCCCAGACGCCUACGGGAGGCAGCAGUGGGGAAUAUUGCACAGUGGGCGGAAGCCUGAUGCAGCAACGCCGCGUGCGGGAUGACGGCCUUCGGGUGGUAAACCGCUGUCGCCGGUGACGAAGCGGGAGUGACGGUAAUGGGUAAAGAAGCACCGGCUAACUACGUG
Molecule: ribosomal RNA, 468 nt
Filed under: uncultured bacterium
Lineage: Bacteria
Description: partial 16S ribosomal RNA
Rfam family: Bacterial small subunit ribosomal RNA
Source: RNAcentral